UACAGAGGGUGCAAGCGUUAAUCGGAAUUACUGGGCGUAAAGCGUGCGUAGACGGUUGCGUAAGUCAGAUGUGAAAGCCCCGGGCUCAACCUGGGAAUUGCAUUUGAGACUGCGUAGCUAGGGUGCGGAAGAGGGAAGCGGAAUUUCCGGUGUAGCGGUGAAAUGCGUAGAUAUCGGAAGGAACACCAGUGGCGAAGGCGGCUUUCUGGACAGGUACUGACGCUGAGACGCGAAAGCGUGGGGAGCAAACAGG
Molecule: ribosomal RNA, 253 nt
Filed under: uncultured bacterium
Lineage: Bacteria
Description: partial 16S ribosomal RNA
Rfam family: Bacterial small subunit ribosomal RNA
Source: RNAcentral